UUUUUUUUUUUUUUCUCUCUCUAUUUCAUAUCUUUGGAAUCCUACUAAUGUGAGUGAUACCAAAAGAGCUGCCUUUUAUGACUUAGUGGGUUCUCUGAUUAGUUUUGGUCAAGCUUCAGGCAAAGUUUCCUUUAUACAGCUCAUGUCCACUUUAGCUUUGGUCCUUGCCUCACCUCCAAAACAUUUCCGCAUUUCCUCUUAUGAUAGAAGUUACUUUCCCUAACAGACAUCACAAAAUGCCCAUAACAAAAACCUUAUAACUAUCUCUAACUGGAAAAGAGAGGGAUGCUAUUAGAAUGCCUAUACGCAUUCAAAAACUAAAACAGCUACUUUGAAAAGGCUAAAUAAAGGCUACCGAAUCAGUAAAGAACCCGUUUUUAAGUUUAACAACAUUCUCCAACCUACAGAGCCCAGUACAACUAUUGAACUAUAACAAAUACAAAACUAACAAUAGCAUUACUUGCUGUUUCUUUUCUUGCAUUAUCUCAGCAAACAAUUACAACCUAUAAAUAAAAAGCUCCCAAAAACAAUGAGAGGGAAGGGGCCACAGAUAAAAGGACAAAAACAAUACCUUAUUUGACCACUUCCCAAACGGAGUGGCUGAGUUAAAC
This 611-nucleotide unclassified non-coding RNA is filed under the name Hevea brasiliensis (rubber tree). Lineage: Eukaryota; Viridiplantae; Streptophyta; Magnoliopsida; Malpighiales; Euphorbiaceae. The record is from RNAcentral.